Molecule: long non-coding RNA, 465 nt
Filed under: Mytilus galloprovincialis (Mediterranean mussel)
Lineage: Eukaryota; Metazoa; Mollusca; Bivalvia; Mytilida; Mytilidae
Source: RNAcentral
GCCUUGAAUAUUAUAUUGUAGCAUCUUUUGCCAAAGUCCAGCUCUCCAAACUGUAUCAAAUGCACUUUUGAAAUCAAUGAACGAGCAAAAUAAUUUUUUACCAAAUGAAAAAUAUAGAGAAAUAAGUGAAUGUAAAAUAAAAAUAUUAUCCAUAGUAGAAAACCCUUUUCUGAACCCAGCCUGUGCUCCUGUAAUUAAGCCUAUUUCAUCUGACAAUUUAUUCAAUCUGUUGUUGAGCACAGCAGUGAAUGUUUUACUUAGACAUGAAUUGAGAGUAAUACCUCUGUAAGAAUUCGGGUCAGAUUUGGAACCCUUGUUCUUGAAAAUUGGAACCAUUAUUCCUUUGGUCCAACAUUCUGGUAUAAUACCUGUAUCUAACACAAUAUUAAAUAACAUUACAUACACAUUAAUCAUAUCAUCUAAUGUACAUUUAAUAUAUUCAUUUAAUAUAUUAUCAUAUCCAGC